Daphnia carinata is the source of this 432-nucleotide long non-coding RNA. RefSeq lists it as uncharacterized. The record is from RefSeq and is a predicted model, not a curated record. The transcript is spliced from 3 exons. Lineage: Eukaryota; Metazoa; Arthropoda; Branchiopoda; Diplostraca; Daphniidae.
UGAAGGGAGGUAAUUUUUGGCGCGAGAUGGCAAUAGAACAAGCAAAGCAAGGUAAAAGACCACCAGUAAAACGUGCAGUGAUUCCGUGACAGAUAUUACGUUCAUCUGUGUAGUGUUUUAGGGAUUUCUAUUUGACAUUUUGUUUGUACACCAGAAAUGGUCCAUAUGGCAGUAUCUGCAAUAUUUCUCAAGACAAUUAACCUAUCUUCAUCAGAGAUGCAGGUGCUGAUAUUCUGCUGACGUCAUAAGGCUGUACCUGCAAGGCAUGUUUUUGGAAACACAACAAAUUUAAGGGAUGCAGCUUACGCCAACAAAUCUGACACUGGUUUGUGACCUUGCAUAAACACAAACAACAUUGCAAAGUACGAUGCCAGGAACACAUUUGCAAUUCAUUUCCAAGACACCAUGGAGUUAGCCAUCCUGAAAUCAAGG